This 1391-nucleotide long non-coding RNA is filed under the name Homo sapiens (human). Its description in RNAcentral is "HSALNT0196089". The record is from RNAcentral. Lineage: Eukaryota; Metazoa; Chordata; Mammalia; Primates; Hominidae.
GGCAAAAGCAAAACUGUUUCAAAAACAAACAAACAAAAAAACCGGCUGGGUGUGGUGAUACAUGCCUGUAGUCCCAGGUAAUCAGGAGACUGAGGCGGGAGGAUCACUUGAAUCCAGGAGUUGGACAUGGCAGUGAGCUGUGAUUGUGUCACUGCCCUCCAGCAGCCUGGGUGACAGAGAGAGACCCUGUCUCAAUAUAUUAGGUUGGCGCAAAAGUAAUUGCAGUUUUUGCCACUGAAAGUAAUGCCAUUGGAGGUAAUGGCAAAAACAGCAAUUACUUUUGCGCCAAUCUAAUAGAUAUGUAGAUAAUAUGAUCGAUGGUGAUCAGUGAUAACAGUGAAAAAGAAACAGAACAGGGAACAAGGGGCCGGGCUCAGUGGUUCACGCCUGUAAUCCCAGCACUUUGGGAGGCCGAGGUGGACGGAUCACUUGAGGCCAGGAGUUCGAGAACAGCCUGGCCAACAUGGUAAAACCCCACUUCUACUAAAAAUACAAAAAAAUUUAGCCAGGCAUGGUGGUGUGCGUCUGUGGUGCCAGCUACCCGGGAGGCUGAGGUGGGAGGAUCCCUUGAACACAGGAGGCAGAGGCUGCAGUGAGCUGAGAUCGCGCCAUUGCACGCCAGCCUGGGUGACAGAGUGAGACCCUGUCUCCAAAAAACAAACAAACAAAAACAAAAAAAGAAAAGAAAAAGGAACAAGGAAAAUAAGAUGGUAAAUGUGGUCUCCAAGGUCUUGUUUCAUCUUCCUAUGUCCAUUAUUUUUCCCAUUAUGCAAGUGAGGAGGAGGUUCAGAGAGGUGGAGUAACUCGUCCAGGGACUCACAGUGCGCAAGCUGAGACGUCAGUGUCCUGGAAGGACCCAUCCUGCAAUCGUUCUUGGCUGUGUUCCUACCCAGUGCCUAGGAUGGAGGUGAAGACAAAAAGAGCAUCAGGCUUUCUCUCAAGAGCUUGAGACCUGGCAAGCGGGCUGGGGAUGAGAGCCAACGUCUUCAUUUCAGAACAUCUCAGCCGCAUCAGGGGGAUCGUCACACUCUCUGCCAUGAAUAGGUGACGCGGGAUGAAGAGGAGAGUUUCCUAUCAAGGCUGCUGUGUUUUGUUUUUGUUUUGUAGAUAUGGGGUUUCACCAUGUUGCCCAGGCUGGUCUCUAACUCCUGGGCUCAAGGGAUCCACCCGCUUUGACCUCCCAAAUUGUUGGGAUUACAGGUAUGAGCCACAGUGCCUGCCUAAGGUUGCUUUCUGUGUGAAUCAAGGAGGCAUUCAAUAAAUAGUUGUGGGAUUAAUGAAUGUCAUUUCAAGGAGGGUUAAAAGCCAUGGACACCAUCUGUAAAGGGUAUUAUAAUUUGGUUAUCCAGGAAAACAGAAAAUUUCAGCAGUUAUUUGAGAUUUCCAGAAGG